ACUGCCCAGUCGAGGGGGAUAACAGUUGGAAACGACUGCUAAUACCGCAUACGCCCUACGGGGGAAAGGAGGGGCUUCGGCCUUUCGCGAUUGGAUGUACCUAGGUGGGAUUAGCUUGUUGGUGAGGUAAGAGCUCACCAAGGCGACGAUCCCUAGCUGUUCUGAGAGGAUGAUCAGCCACACUGGGACUGAGACACGGCCCAGACUCCUACGGGAGGCAGCAGUGGGGAAUAUUGCACAAUGGGCGAAAGCCUGAUGCAGCCAUGCCGCGUGUUGAAGAAGGCCUUCGGGUUGUAAAGACUUUCAGCGAGGAGGAAAGGUUAAUACCCUGUGACGUUACUCGCAGAAGAAGCACCGGCUAACUUCGUGCCAGCAGCCGCGGUAAUACGAGGGGUGCAAGCGUUAAUCGGAAUUACUGGGCGUAAAGCGUACGCAGGCGGUUUGUUAAGCGAGAUGUGAAAGCCCCGGGCUCAACCUGGGAACUGCAUUUCGAACUGGCAAACUAGAGUCUUGUAGAGGGGGGUAGAAUUUCAGGUGUAGCGGUGAAAUGCGUAGAGAUCUGAAGGAAUACCGGUGGCGAAGGCGGCCCCCUGGACAAAACUGACGCUCAGGUACGAAAGCGUGGGGAGCAAACAGGAUUAGAUACCCUGGUAGUCCACGCCGUAAACGAUGUCUACUCGGAAUUUGGUGUCUUGAACACUGGGUUCUCAAGCUAACGCAUUAAGUAGACCGCCUGGGGAGUACGGCCGCAAGGUUAAAACUCAAAUGAAUUGACGGGGGCCCGCACAAGCGGUGGAGCAUGUGGUUUAAUUCGAUGCAACGCGAAGAACCUUACCUACUCUUGACAUCCAGAGAAUUAGAGAUUGUGCCUUCGGGACUCUGAGACAGGUGCUGCAUGGCUGUCGUCAGCUCGUGUUGUGAAAUGUUGGGUUAAGUCCCGCAACGAGCGCAACCCUUAUCCUUAUUUGCCAGCCUAAUGGUGGGAACUUUAGGGAGACUGCCGGUGAUAAACCGGAGGAAGGUGGGGAGACGUCAAGUCAUCAUGGCCCUUACGAGUAGGGCUACACACGUGCUACAAUGGCGAGUACAGAGGGUU
This 1096-nucleotide ribosomal RNA is filed under the name Vibrio sp. O20bAug. Its description in RNAcentral is "bacterial SSU rRNA". It matches the Rfam family "Bacterial small subunit ribosomal RNA", at positions 125 to 1248 of the family's 1533-position model. Lineage: Bacteria; Pseudomonadati; Pseudomonadota; Gammaproteobacteria; Vibrionales; Vibrionaceae. The record is from RNAcentral.